AGUGAACGCUGGCGGUAGGCCUAACACAUGUAAGUCGAACGGCAGCACAGUAAGAGCUUGCUCUUACGGGUGGCGAGUGGCGGACGGGUGAGGAAUACAUCGGAAUCUACUUUUUCGUGGGGGAUAACGUAGGGAAACUUACGCUAAUACCGCAUACGACCUACGGGUGAAAGCAGGGGAUCUUCGGACCUUGCGCGAUUGAAUGAGCCGAUGUCGGAUUAGCUAGUUGGCGGGGUAAAGGCCCACCAAGGCGACGAUCCGUAGCUGGUCUGAGAGGAUGAUCAGCCACACUGGAACUGAGACACGGUCCAGACUCCUACGGGAGGCAGCAGUGGGGAAUAUUCGACAAUGGGCGCAAGCCUGAUCCAGCCAUACCGCGUGGGUGAAGAAGGUCUUCGGGUUGUAAAGCCCUUUUGUUGGGAAAGAAAAGCAGCAGGUUAAUCCCCCGCUGUUCUGACGGUACCCAAAGAAUAAGCACCGGCUAACUUCGUG
This 492-nucleotide ribosomal RNA is filed under the name uncultured bacterium. RNAcentral describes it as "partial 16S ribosomal RNA". It matches the Rfam family "Bacterial small subunit ribosomal RNA", at positions 29 to 507 of the family's 1533-position model. The record is from RNAcentral.